RNAcentral lists this ribosomal RNA (425 nucleotides) under uncultured bacterium. Its description in RNAcentral is "bacterial SSU rRNA". It matches the Rfam family "Bacterial small subunit ribosomal RNA", at positions 356 to 773 of the family's 1533-position model. The record is from RNAcentral.
GGGGAAUUUUGGACAAUGGGCGCAAGCCUGAUCCAGCCAUGCCGCGUGCAGGAUGAAGGCCUUCGGGUUGUAAACUGCUUUUGUACGGAACGAAAAGACUCUUUCUAAUAAAGAGGGUCCAUGACGGUACCGUAAGAAUAAGCACCGGCUAACUACGUGCCAGCAGCCGCGGUAAUACGUAGGGUGCGAGCGUUAAUCGGAAUUACUGGGCGUAAAGCGUGCGCAGGCGGUGAUGUAAGACAGAUGUGAAAUCCCCGGGCUCAACCUGGGAACUGCAUUUGUGACUGCAUCGCUGGAGUGCGGCAGAGGGGGAUGGAAUUCCGCGUGUAGCAGUGAAAUGCGUAGAUAUGCGGAGGAACACCGAUGGCGAAGGCAAUCCCCUGGGCCUGCACUGACGCUCAUGCACGAAAGCGUGGGGAGCAAAC